UGGAAAGUUCACGGUUCGACGCCAUGGAUCUCCAGGUGGGUCAAGGUUAGAGACGCACCAACCUGGAGGACUCCAUGCUGUCGAGCUGAUCACGA
Non-coding RNA from Ornithorhynchus anatinus (platypus), 95 nucleotides. The record is from Rfam. NCBI's taxonomy places the organism in Eukaryota, Metazoa, Chordata, Mammalia, Monotremata, Ornithorhynchidae.